ACACAUGCAAGUCGAGGGGCAGCAUGGUCUUAGCUUGCUAAGGCCGAUGGCGACCGGCGCACGGGUGAGUAACACGUAUCCAACCUGCCGUCUACUCUUGGACAGCCUUCUGAAAGGAAGAUUAAUACAAGAUGGCAUCAUGAGUCCGCAUGUUCACAUGAUUAAAGGUAUUCCGGUAGACGAUGGGGAUGCGUUCCAUUAGAUAGUAGGCGGGGUAACGGCCCACCUAGUCUUCGAUGGAUAGGGGUUCUGAGAGGAAGGUCCCCCACAUUGGAACUGAGACACGGUCCAAACUCCUACGGGAGGCAGCAGUGAGGAAUAUUGGUCAAUGGGCGAGAGCCUGAACCAGCCAAGUAGCGUGAAGGAUGACUGCCCUAUGGGUUGUAAACUUCUUUUAUAAAGGAAUAAAGUCGGGUAUGGAUACCCGUUUGCAUGUACUUUAUGAAUAAGGAUCGGCUAACUCCGUGCCAGCAGCCGCGGUAAUACGGAGGAUCCGAGCGUUAUCCGGAUUUAUUGGGUUUAAAGGGAGCGUAGAUGGAUGUUUAAGUCAGUUGUGAAAGUUUGCGGCUCAACCGUAAAAUUGCAGUUGAUACUGGAUAUCUUGAGUGUAGUUGAGGCAGGCGGAAUUCGUGGUGUAGCGGUGAAAUGCUUAGAUAUCACGAAGAACUCCGAUUGCGAAGGCAGCCUGCUAAGCUGCAACUGACAUUGAGGCUCGAAAGUGUGGGUAUCAAACAGGAUUAGAUACCCUGGUAGUCCACACGGUAAACGAUGAAUACUCGCUGUUUGCGAUAUACUGCAAGCGGCCAAGCGAAAGCGUUAAGUAUUCCACCUGGGGAGUACGCCGGCAACGGUGAAACUCAAAGG
RNAcentral lists this ribosomal RNA (864 nucleotides) under uncultured bacterium. Its description in RNAcentral is "bacterial SSU rRNA". It matches the Rfam family "Bacterial small subunit ribosomal RNA", at positions 51 to 907 of the family's 1533-position model. The record is from RNAcentral.